GGAAUGUGGUCCUCGGCGCAGUCCAGUGCCGGCGGAGGAAGCUUGGGCUCUCAGACAAAUCUGCAAGGUUUCGUGCAGGAUGAAGGUGCAAUCUCCGGCAGCGUGGGAGCCGAUGCUCAUUAUCAAAGUGACGCCUAUUUGGUGCCGUGUCCGAUGCCUUAUCCUUCGUGUGGAAGUUGUACGAGGUGUUAGACACGCUCGUCUUUUGUUUUCUAUUUCUGUUUGAUGCUUCCUGUCAGUGUUUGGUUUGAUGAAUCAAAUUAAAAUGAA
Non-coding RNA from Penaeus vannamei (Pacific white shrimp), 270 nucleotides. The record is from RefSeq and is a predicted model, not a curated record. Lineage: Eukaryota; Metazoa; Arthropoda; Malacostraca; Decapoda; Penaeidae.